UACGGAAGGCAGCAGUGGGGAAUAUUGCACAAUGGGCGCAAGCCUGAUGCAGCCAUGCCGCGUGUAUGAAGAAGGCCUUCGGGUUGUAAAGUACUUUCAGUCGUGAGGAAGGUGUUAAGGUUAAUAACCUUAGCAAUUGACGUUAGCGACAGAAGAAGCACCGGCUAACUCCGUGCCAGCAGUCGCGGUAAUACGGAGGGUGCGAGCGUUAAUCGGAAUUACUGGGCGUAAAGGGCACGCAGGCGGUUAAUUAAGUUGGAUGUGAAAUCCCCGGGCUUAACCUGGGAAUGGCAUUCAAGCUGGUUAGCUAGAGUCUUGUAGAGGGGGUAGAAUUCCAUGUGUAGCGGUGAAAUGCGUAGAGAUGUGGAGGAAUACCGGUGGCGAAGGCGGCCCCUGGACAAAGGACUGACGCUCAUGUGCGAAAGCGUGGGGAGCGAAACG
Molecule: ribosomal RNA, 441 nt
Filed under: uncultured bacterium
Lineage: Bacteria
Description: bacterial SSU rRNA
Rfam family: Bacterial small subunit ribosomal RNA
Source: RNAcentral